Molecule: non-coding RNA, 702 nt
Filed under: Amborella trichopoda
Lineage: Eukaryota; Viridiplantae; Streptophyta; Magnoliopsida; Amborellales; Amborellaceae
Description: Bacterial large subunit ribosomal RNA
Rfam family: Bacterial large subunit ribosomal RNA
Source: Rfam by way of RNAcentral
UGAUUGAUGAGGUGUAUGACAAUUCAUGGAUCAGAUGUAGGAAGCAAUAAUUGAAUCGGGAUAGCAUGCAUAGGGCUUAAGAUCAGGCCGAAAGGUGUAGUCGAUGGACAACAAGUGAAUAUUCUUAUACUAACCCUUGUUGGUCUCGAGGGACGGAGGAGGCUAGGUUAGCCGAAAGGUGGUUUAUCGAUUCAAGGAAACAAGGUAACCUUUCUUUUUUUCUCAAGGUAAGAAGGCCUAGAGGAAAUGCCACGAGCCAAUGUCCAAGUACCAGGCGCCACGGUGCUUAAGUAACCCAUGCCAUACUCCUAGGAAAAACUCGAACACAGGUGGGUUGGUAGAUAAUACCUAGGGGCACAAGACAACUCUCUCUAAGGAACUCGGCAAAAUAGCCCCGUAACUUCGGGAGAAGGGGUGCUUCCUCACAAAGGGGGUCGCGGUGACCAGGCCCGGGCGACUGUUUACCAAAAACAUAGGUCUCUGCAAAGUCAUAAGACCAUGUAUGGGGCUAACGCCUGCCUAGUAUCGAAAGGUCAAGGAAGUCGGUGACCUGAUGAUAAGGGAGUCGGAGACUGAAGCACCACUGAACAGCUGUCAUAACUGUAAUGGUCCUAGGGUAGCAAAAUUCCUUAUCAGAUAAGUCCGACCUGCAUGAAAGGCAUAACGAUUUGGGCAUUGUCUAAGAGAGAGGCUUGGUGAAAU